UGUCCGUAGGUGAACCUGCGGAGGGAUCAUUACUGAGUGAGGGCUCACGCCCGACCUCCAACCCUUUGUGAACACAUCUUGUUGCUUCGGGGGCGACCCUGCCGGCACUCUGUCGCCGGGCGCCCCCGAAGGCCUCCCAACACUGCAUCUUUGCGUCGGAGUUUAAAACAAAUGAAACAAAACUUUCAACAACGGAUCUCUUGGUUCGGGAAUCGAUGAAGAACGCAGC
RNAcentral lists this unclassified non-coding RNA (229 nucleotides) under uncultured fungus. RNAcentral describes it as "sequence contains ITS1, 5.8S rRNA gene". The stretch from base 181 to 229 matches the Rfam family "5.8S ribosomal RNA", at positions 1 to 49 of the family's 154-position model. Lineage: Eukaryota; Fungi. The record is from RNAcentral.